This is a long non-coding RNA of Populus euphratica (Euphrates poplar), 894 nucleotides long. RefSeq lists it as uncharacterized. The record is from RefSeq and is a predicted model, not a curated record. NCBI's taxonomy places the organism in Eukaryota, Viridiplantae, Streptophyta, Magnoliopsida, Malpighiales, Salicaceae. The transcript is spliced from 2 exons.
CUGCAUCUACAGGAAAUCCCAAUCAUCUUCGGAUUAAGCCUUCUGAAAUUGACAACAGAAGCGAUUGAAACUGCACUCAUAACUCAAUUAGAUCAUCCCAUCUCAAAACAACAACAGCGUCAGCGAUGAAGAUCAGCAAACGAAUACAUGUUCGCGAAGUCUGGGAAGACAACCUCGUAGCUGAAUUUUCUCUAACAAGGAAGCAAUCUCUUGCUUCUCCUUCAUUUCACUGGACACUGAAUUCCCUGGUCCAGUUGCUGCUGCUGGUGAUGGUGGUUAGUCCAUGCUCCUGCUGUAUCUAUGCUGAUUCUGCUGCUCCAUGUUGCACUCGCUAUGCUCCCCACUCUGUUUUUGCUCACGCGGUAUUCCUUACACCUUUAUGUUCGCAGUCGCAGCCCUCGUUGAUCAUGAUCAGUGUUGUCUUUGGUUUAAAAUGAGUAACGAGUUUUUUUGGUAUGUUAUUAGAUGGCUUAAUCGUCUUGGAAUUUAGUAUGAAGACAAACUUUGUUGCUGUGUUUCCACAAAAGCUCAAUUGAUAUUGCCUUAACCACAGACAAACAGUAAAUCAAAUCUAGAAACCAUCAGCAUCCCCAGCUAUCAGAAUUUAAGCCUAAUUUAUCUGCAGAGUCUCAUCAGCAUGUUCACACCAGAGGAUUCGAGAGACUAAAUACUUCUCAAAUGAAAUCUUUGCUAACUGAUGAUGACCUUGAUACCUCCAGAUAGAGACAUGGCUCAAGCUUCCAAUUGAUCAAAGAAACUCUAUUAUAAUCAACGCGAAGUAUUUUUAAUUUAUUAAGUUCUUAACAUGAAAGACUAAGAACAUGUGCUAAAACACAGACCACAAUACAAAUAUAAGUUUUUAUUAAAUCAGAAACGCUCCUAACAGUCUUAAAA